RNAcentral lists this ribosomal RNA (60 nucleotides) under Fusicatenibacter saccharivorans. RNAcentral describes it as "partial 23S ribosomal RNA". Lineage: Bacteria; Bacillati; Bacillota; Clostridia; Lachnospirales; Lachnospiraceae. The record is from RNAcentral.
GGAAGUGCCGUAAGGCAUGGAGCUGACUGUUACUAAUCGGUCGAGGGCUUGACCUAGUUG